GACGAACGCUGGCGGCAUGCCUAACACAUGCAAGUCUAGGGGUAGCAAUACCACUGGCGCACGGGUGAGUAACACGUAGGUUAUCUGCCUCCAUCACAGACAUAACCCCGGGAAACCGGGGCUAAUAUCUGAUGAGGUCGCGAGAUCAAAGCUUCGGCGGAUGGGGAUGAGCCUGCGGCUGAUUAGCUAGUUGGUGAGGUAAUGGCUCACCAAGGCGACGAUCAGUAGCUGGUCUGAGAGGACGAACAGCCACACUGGAACUGAGACACGGUCCAGACUCCUACGGGAGGCAGCAGUGAGGAAUAUUGGUCAAUGGGAGCAAUCCUGAACCAGCAAUGCCGCGUGUGGGAUGACAGGGCUUCGCCUUGUAAACCACUGUCGGACGGGACGAAAGGAGGCCUCGGGCCUCUGGGACGGUACCGUCAAAGGAAGGGUCGGCUAACUACGUGCCAGCAGCCGCGGUAAU
This 466-nucleotide ribosomal RNA is filed under the name uncultured bacterium. Its description in RNAcentral is "bacterial SSU rRNA". It matches the Rfam family "Bacterial small subunit ribosomal RNA", at positions 28 to 524 of the family's 1533-position model. The record is from RNAcentral.